Molecule: transfer RNA, 97 nt
Filed under: Thermothelomyces hinnuleus
Lineage: Eukaryota; Fungi; Ascomycota; Sordariomycetes; Sordariales; Chaetomiaceae
Also listed under: 1 other name
Description: tRNA-Ser
Rfam family: tRNA
About the family: Transfer RNA (tRNA) molecules are approximately 80 nucleotides in length.
Source: RNAcentral
GACAACUUGGCCGAGUGGUUAAGGCGACAGACUUGAAUCUCCACAUUCGAGAUAUCUGUUGGGUUCGCCCUCACAAGUUCGAAUCUUGUAGUUGUCG